UCCCAGACUCCUACGGGAGGCAGCAGUGAGGAAUAUUGGUCAAUGGGCGCAAGCCUGAACCAGCCAAGUCGCGUGAGGGAUGACGGUCCUAUGGAUUGUAAACCUCUUUUGUCGGGGAGCAAGGCCCGCCACGUGUGGCGGGAAGGAGAGUACCCGAAGAAAAAGCAUCGGCUAACUCCGUGCCAGCAGCCGCGGUAAUACGGAGGAUGCGAGCGUUAUCCGGAUUUAUUGGGUUUAAAGGGUGCGCAGGCGGCACGGCAAGCCGGCGGUAAAAUCGCGGGGCUCAACCCCGCCCAGCCGUCGGAACUGGCGGGCUAGAGUGGGCGAGAAGUGCGCGGAAUGCGUGGUGUAGCGGUGAAAUGCAUAGAUAUCACGCAGAACUCCGAUUGCGAAGGCAGCGCACCGGCGCCCUACUGACGCUCAGGCACGAAAGCGUGGGUAUCGAACAGGAUUAGAUACCCGGGUAA
Molecule: ribosomal RNA, 467 nt
Filed under: uncultured bacterium
Lineage: Bacteria
Description: bacterial SSU rRNA
Rfam family: Bacterial small subunit ribosomal RNA
Source: RNAcentral